RNAcentral lists this ribosomal RNA (244 nucleotides) under uncultured bacterium. Its description in RNAcentral is "partial 16S ribosomal RNA". It matches the Rfam family "Bacterial small subunit ribosomal RNA", at positions 89 to 334 of the family's 1533-position model. The record is from RNAcentral.
CGUGAAGUGGCGGACGGGUGAGUAACGCGUGGGUAACCUGCCUCAUACAGGGGGAUAACAGUUAGAAAUGACUGCUAAUACCGCAUAAGACCACAGUACCGCAUGGUACAGGGGUAAAAACUCCGGUGGUAUGAGAUGGACCCGCGUCUGAUUAGGUAGUUGGUGGGUAACGGCCUACCAAGCCGACGAUCAGUAGCCGGCUUGAGAGAGUGAACGGCCGCAUUGGGACUGAGACACGGCCCAA